RNAcentral lists this transfer RNA (72 nucleotides) under Camelus bactrianus (Bactrian camel). It matches the Rfam family "tRNA". From Rfam's summary of the family: Transfer RNA (tRNA) molecules are approximately 80 nucleotides in length. Their secondary structure includes four short double-helical elements and three loops (D, anti-codon, and T loops). RNAcentral also lists the same sequence under 3 other names. The record is from Rfam by way of RNAcentral. Lineage: Eukaryota; Metazoa; Chordata; Mammalia; Artiodactyla; Camelidae.
AGGGAAAUAACUCCAUGGUAGAGUGCAUACUUAGCAUGCAUGAGGUCCUAGGUUCAAUCCCUAGUACCUCCA